This 363-nucleotide long non-coding RNA is filed under the name Homo sapiens (human). RNAcentral's name for it is "HSALNT0350586". Lineage: Eukaryota; Metazoa; Chordata; Mammalia; Primates; Hominidae. The record is from RNAcentral.
CCAGUGGACUGGGAGAGGCAGACCCACCCUCAGCGUGGGCACCAUCUAAUCAGCUGCCAGCAUGGCUAGAAUAAGGCAGGCAGAAGAACAUGGAAGGACCUGACUUGCUGUCUCCCGGCCUUCAUCUUUCUCCCGUGCUGGAUGCUUCCUGCCCUCGAGCAUCGCACUCCAGGCUCUUCAGCCUUGGGACUCUUGGACCUUCAGCCACAGACUGAAGGCUGGACUGUUCGCUUCCCUACUUCUGAGACUUUGAAACUUGGACUGGCUUCCUUGCUCCUCAGCUUGCAGACGGCCUCUUGUGGGACCUCACCUUAUGAUUGUGGGGAGAAGCUGGCUGUCGGCUCCCCAAUCUGCCAGUCUGGG